Long non-coding RNA from Chiroxiphia lanceolata (lance-tailed manakin), 633 nucleotides. RefSeq lists it as uncharacterized. The record is from RefSeq and is a predicted model, not a curated record. Lineage: Eukaryota; Metazoa; Chordata; Aves; Passeriformes; Pipridae. The transcript is spliced from 3 exons.
CUGCGCCGAGGCAUAAGAGCCGAUGACUCAGCAGGAAGCUCCCAGACUCCGGGGGCACAGAUUGGGAGGGGAUAAACGUCCGGGGAAUCCUUUGUAGGGGGCCCUGCCCGAGGCACCAGCUCGAGCUGCUACGAUGUGUCUGCACCACGUUUAAAUUACUCAAGGAACAAGAGAUGUGGGACUCUGCCACGGGAAACCUGGAGUCGAGUUGGGUUUCUGUCUCCUGUUCUUGGAAGUGGCCGAAGCUGCUGUGAAAUGGCCUCCGGGAUGUUGGUACACGGGGGAGUCACGUAUAAGAAAAUAAGGAAGAGCAGGUAACUCUGCCACCUGUGAGAAGUCUGGCUAGGCCUGACAGGGCAAACACCACACAGAACCUGGCUGCCACCUUGGAUCUGGGAACCUGCCAUCCUGCUUGUGUUCAGGCAGUCCAGUUUGCUCUCAUCCUCACCCUCCUUGAGUAUCCAGAAGCUGUAUCAGCAGUUCAGGAAGUGAGACCUCUUAGUUCCUGCUUGACCUUGCUGGCUGUGCCACUGCAGGAGGCAGAAUCCCAAUGGAAGCAUUGCUGCAGGCAGCUGGGAAGGGCUGCCCUGUUCCUCAGGUCAUGGAGAGAUCUGCUGCUGCCAGCCAGGUUGA